This 409-nucleotide ribosomal RNA is filed under the name uncultured prokaryote. RNAcentral describes it as "bacterial SSU rRNA". It matches the Rfam family "Bacterial small subunit ribosomal RNA", at positions 355 to 776 of the family's 1533-position model. The record is from RNAcentral. RNAcentral also lists the same sequence under 1 other name.
UGGGGAAUAUUGCACAAUGGGCGCAAGCCUGAUGCAGCGACGCCGCGUGAGGGAUGACGGCCUUCGGGUUGUAAACCUCUUUCAGUAGGGAAGAAGCGAAAGUGACGGUACCUGCAGAAGAAGCGCCGGCUAACUACGUGCCAGCAGCCGCGGUAAUACGUAGGGCGCGAGCGUUAUCCGGAAUUAUUGGGCGUAAAGAGCUCGUAGGCGGUUUGUCGCGUCUGCCGUGAAAGCCCGGGGCUUAACCCCGGGUCUGCGGUGGGUACGGGCAGACUAGAGUGCAGUAGGGGAGACUGGAAUUCCUGGUGUAGCGGUGAAAUGCGCAGAUAUCAGGAGGAACACCGAUGGCGAAGGCAGGUCUCUGGGCUGUUACUGACGCUGAGGAGCGAAAGCAUGGGGAGCGAACAGG